CAGCUGUGGCAUUUAAGGGAAACCUAAUGGGAAAAGAUUUCCCAGCUAAGUGACACAGACAGGGCCCUGCUCUCUCUCAAGUUCCAGAGGACACCAGGAUCCACUGCCUUGUCACCAAUUCCACAAGAAUGAGGUCUCACCCUACAAGCUUUACUCUUCCUGUUUCCCUCUUCUAAUUAACUACUCAGCUAAUUGUUACAGGAUCACCAUAGAGCUGGAG
Molecule: non-coding RNA, 220 nt
Organism: Peromyscus maniculatus bairdii (prairie deer mouse)
Lineage: Eukaryota; Metazoa; Chordata; Mammalia; Rodentia; Cricetidae
Source: RefSeq, a predicted model, not a curated record